UACAGGGGGGGCAAGCGUUGUUCGGAAUUACUGGGCGUAAAGGGCUCGUAGGUGGCCAACUAAGUCAGACGUGAAAUCCCUCAGCUUAACUGGGGAACUGCGUCUGAUACUGGAUGGCUUGAGUUUGGGAGAGGGAUGCGGAAUUCCAGGUGUAGCGGUGAAAUGCGUAGAUAUCUGGAGGAACACCGGUGGCGAAGGCGGCAUCCUGGACCAACACUGACACUGAGGAGCGAAAGCCAGGGGAGCAAACAGG
RNAcentral lists this ribosomal RNA (253 nucleotides) under uncultured bacterium. Its description in RNAcentral is "partial 16S ribosomal RNA". It matches the Rfam family "Bacterial small subunit ribosomal RNA", at positions 524 to 776 of the family's 1533-position model. The record is from RNAcentral.